AUGGCCAUGGAGACAGCCUGGACCUGCCCCAUCUGCCAGGACACUCGGAGGAGCAGGGCUUCUGUUCUGCCCUGUCGCCACCAGUUCUGCCUGAGCUGCAUCCUGCAGUGGGCACAGAGAAAUCCAUCGUGCCCACUCUGCAGAACACCGAUAGAUGCUGUCAGGUUUUCUGAGCAGGGCAGAUGGGACUCUCUUCUGUUUGUCAUCACGCAUCCUGGAGAGUCACCACAGGCCAGCAGCCAGGCAAGACGAGCUUCUGGAGAGUCACCAGAGACUCCUACAGUGGGGAAAAGAGGUCCCCAAUAUCCUGGGGCAUCCCCUUCAUCUUCUUCGCAGGGGACAGUGUCCCCACCUGAGCAGGGGGCUGCAGGGCCAGAGCCCAUGGGUGGCAUUCUGCCCGAAGUGUGGGCAGAACUUUUCCAGCGACAACAGCAUCUCCUGGACCCUGUGCUGCCCUGGCUACGCCAGAGGCUUGAGGAAAUUUACUGCAACUGGUGGUUGCCAGUACAGGUUGCUGAGAGCAGAAUCCUGUCUGAUCUCUGUGUCUAUGGUCUACAUGAGGAGACCUUGAUCCUUAGGCUGCAGAACCACCUCAGAGGACAUGCAGCACCACUGGUUCGUGAGCUUAUCAAUGUUAUUGUGAGCCAGUGCAGCGAGGAGGCUCAGAGGCUUCUGCACUCCCACACUGAUGGAGAGGAAACAGGUGGGAGCUGUGUUUCAAAGUGUGACUUUUGAUCAUGAUCUCUCUGGAGUCAGACUCCAGAGUCCCCUGGACACCUGAUCCUAAUUUUGAGGAAUCCAUCUACCGCAUGGAUCUAUCCUGGAGCUGUUGUUCCCAGAAGUAUGUAAUACCUUGGAGCGGUGUUUCAGAAGUCAAGCGUCCCAGAGUCUCAGUUUAGCCAUCUAUCAGCCUCUGAUGACCUAAAGUUCUCGAAGGGAACUGGCUCUGCUUUCCUGAUUUUUUGCUGCACAAUGGAGUUUUGAAAAAUCUCGUGAACUUCAGUUCUUGCUGGAAUUUCUUGUAAAGAAAUAUCAAGUUUCUCAUGGGCUCACUCAACAAAGGUGGAGCCAUUCCAGACCUUCUCACAAGGAAACCGGCCAUGAGAGUACUGCACAUGUAUGUGGAAAACCCAUUUUCCUAAGUCAUUACUUUCCUUGUCUAGUCUUACAGUAAAAUUAGUCUGCUGAGAAACAAUUGCUGUAACUGAAUUGAAAGCCUGCUAGACAACACUCAUUCUGAAAUACAGAUUUAAUAAAGUCAUAUAUGAAAC
Molecule: long non-coding RNA, 1271 nt
Filed under: Manacus vitellinus (golden-collared manakin)
Lineage: Eukaryota; Metazoa; Chordata; Aves; Passeriformes; Pipridae
Description: lncRNA (ENSMVIG00005019626.1)
Source: RNAcentral